RNAcentral lists this microRNA (23 nucleotides) under Homo sapiens (human). Its description in RNAcentral is "hsa-miR-4668-5p". Lineage: Eukaryota; Metazoa; Chordata; Mammalia; Primates; Hominidae. The record is from miRBase by way of RNAcentral.
AGGGAAAAAAAAAAGGAUUUGUC